This 677-nucleotide ribosomal RNA is filed under the name Silene araratica subsp. davisii. RNAcentral's name for it is "eukaryotic LSU rRNA". The stretch from base 271 to 425 matches the Rfam family "5.8S ribosomal RNA". The record is from RNAcentral. Lineage: Eukaryota; Viridiplantae; Streptophyta; Magnoliopsida; Caryophyllales; Caryophyllaceae.
UCAGUACGUGACUGCGGAGGAUCAUUGUCGAACCUGCCCAGCAGAGCGACCCGUGAACAUGUUCAACCUCGUGGGGGACGGGGCGUUGCUCGGUGCCUCGUGCGCCUGCUCGCCCCCCUCCCAGGCCGGGGAGCGCUCACUGUGGGCUGUUUCCCCGGCCAAACAACGAACCCCGGCGCGUAAGCGUCAAGGAAUAUAAACUUAAUGUGUGUGCUCUCCCGCUGCCCGGUUAGCCGGGCGUUGGAGCUGUGCCAUGUCUUAACAAUAAACGACUCUCGGCAACGGAUAUCUCGGCUCUCGCAUCGAUGAAGAACGUAGCGAAAUGCGAUACUUGGUGUGAAUUGCAGAAUCCCGUGAACCAUCGAGUUUUUGAACGCAAGUUGCGCCCGAAGCCUCCGGCUGAGGGCACGUCUGCCUGGGCGUCACGCAUCGCGUCUCCCCCAUACCCACCUCGGUGGAGGGGAAGGAGGAUGGUUUCCCGCGACUCACCGGUCGCGGCUGGCCUAAAAUUGGAGCCCUCGGCAUCGGUAUGCCGCGGCGAUAGGUGGUGAACAAGGCCUCGGCCAAGCAAGCAACCCGUCGCGCGUGCCGUGCCAACGUGGGCUCGGAGGACCCUUCGGCGUUGCCUAACGGCAACCAAACGUGCGACCCCAGGUCAGGCGGGGCUACCGUGAUUA